AUACGUAGGUGGCAAGCGUUAUCCGGAAUUAUUGGGCGUAAAGAGGGAGCAGGCGGCAGCAAGGGUCUGUGGUGAAAGCCUGAAGCUUAACUUCAGUAAGCCAUAGAAACCAGGCAGCUAGAGUGCAGGAGAGGAUCGUGGAAUUCCAUGUGUAGCGGUGAAAUGCGUAGAUAUAUGGAGGAACACCAGUGGCGAAGGCGACGACUUGGCCAGCAACGUACGCUCAGUCCCGAAAGCGUGGGGAGAAAAUAGGAUUAGAUCCCCUAGUAGUCUACGCCGUAAACGAUGAGUACUAAGUGUUGGAUGUCAAAGUUCAGUGCUGCAGUUAACGCAAUAAGUACUCCGCCUGAGUAGUACGUUCGCAAGAAUGAAACUCAAAGGAAUUGACGGGG
RNAcentral lists this ribosomal RNA (392 nucleotides) under uncultured bacterium. Its description in RNAcentral is "partial 16S ribosomal RNA". It matches the Rfam family "Bacterial small subunit ribosomal RNA", at positions 523 to 918 of the family's 1533-position model. The record is from RNAcentral.